CUCCAGGACUUUCUCAAGUCCAUCAAAAUGUGAGAAGCAUUGAUGU
Non-coding RNA from Gorilla gorilla gorilla (western lowland gorilla), 46 nucleotides. NCBI's taxonomy places the organism in Eukaryota, Metazoa, Chordata, Mammalia, Primates, Hominidae. The record is from Rfam.